UCCCGGUUAGCUCAGUUGGUAGGGUGCUCCACUGGAAAUGGAGAAGUCCCUGGUUCGAUACCCGGACCAGGCA
Molecule: transfer RNA, 73 nt
Filed under: Ixodes scapularis (black-legged tick)
Lineage: Eukaryota; Metazoa; Arthropoda; Arachnida; Ixodida; Ixodidae
Rfam family: tRNA
About the family: Transfer RNA (tRNA) molecules are approximately 80 nucleotides in length. Their secondary structure includes four short double-helical elements and three loops (D, anti-codon, and T loops).
Source: Rfam by way of RNAcentral